Molecule: ribosomal RNA, 254 nt
Filed under: uncultured bacterium
Lineage: Bacteria
Description: partial 16S ribosomal RNA
Rfam family: Bacterial small subunit ribosomal RNA
Source: RNAcentral
UACAGAGGUCUCAAGCGUUGUUCGGAUUCAUUGGGCGUAAAGGGUGCGUAGGCGGCGAGGUAAGUCGGAUGUGAAAACUCCAGGCUCAACUUGGAGACGCCAUUCGAUACUGCGAUGACUUGAGUCCGGUAGGGGAGUGUGGAAUUCCUGGUGUAGCGGUGAAAUGCGCAGAUAUCAGGAGGAACACCGAUGGCGAAGGCAGGUCUCUGGGCCACUACUGACGCUGAGAAGCGAAAGCAUGGGGAGCGAACAGG